Long non-coding RNA from Cercocebus atys (sooty mangabey), 578 nucleotides. RefSeq lists it as uncharacterized. NCBI's taxonomy places the organism in Eukaryota, Metazoa, Chordata, Mammalia, Primates, Cercopithecidae. The record is from RefSeq and is a predicted model, not a curated record. The transcript has 4 exons.
UCUUCUGAUUAUGAAUUUAAUUAAAAUCCUGAUUCCUGGAUGGUAUCGUGGGCCUAUUGAAUGAGAAUCUCUGGAACUAGAACUUGAAAUCUGCAUUUUAACAAAUGAGUCUGGUGAUUUUUAGCAUUCUAACAUUGGAGAACUACUGGUGAUGGAGAGUUCAGAUGACCAAUGGUGAAUUUUAUCUCACAUUACUAGCUUCUUCAGUUUUCUUCCCCUCAGUGCUCAGACCACACAGCAUGCCCUGUGGUACAGGAGAAAUAUGGAGAAUGCAGCACACUUGCUUCCUACCGAAGUAGGUAUUUUCUUUCCAGAUUUCCUUCAGUUGUGAAGUCUGACGAUUUCAAUUUUUUUGGAUGAAAUAGAAAAUGCUCACCUAAAAAUGAGCAGAGGAUACAGUAAUGAAGAAUAAAGUAUCUACUUUCUUGAAAAUCUGAGUCUAUCAGGGAGAGAGAUAGCACUCCAAUAGUGGAUUAAUUGUGAUUAUGAACAUCUACUAUAAUGGAUAGUAGAGAAGAUAAUUUGUAUGUAAUUGAAGGACCACGUUCUUCUUAGCUUGAAGUCAUUGUGAUAGGUAA